UGCCUAAUACAUGCAAGUCGAACGAGAAAGUUCCGCAAGGGAUGAGUAGAGUGGCGCACGGGUGAGUAACACGUAGGUGACCUGUCCCAUAGUUGGGAAUAACAGAGAGAAGUCUCUGCUAAUACCGAAUAAGGUGAGUGAACUUGGAAAUAGCUCACGAAAGACGGCCUCUUUACAAUGCUGUUGCCAUGGGAAGGGCCUGCGGGCCAUUAGCUAGUUGGUGGGGUAAUGGCCUACCAAGGCAGUGAUGGCUAGCCGGUCUGAGAGGAUGAUCGGCCACACUGGAACUGAGACACGGUCCAGACUCCUACGGGAGGCAGCAGUAGGGAAUAUUGCGCAAUGGGGGCAACCCUGACGCAGCAAUGCCGCGUGAGUGAGGAAGGCCUUCGGGUUGUAAAACUC
This 402-nucleotide ribosomal RNA is filed under the name uncultured organism. RNAcentral's name for it is "bacterial SSU rRNA". It matches the Rfam family "Bacterial small subunit ribosomal RNA", at positions 45 to 433 of the family's 1533-position model. The record is from RNAcentral.